AUUGAACGCUGGCGGCAGGCUUGACACAUGCAAGUCGAGCGGGGUGAUGGUGCUUGCACUAUCACUUAGCGGCGGACGGGUGAGUAAUGCUUAGGAAUCUGCCUAUUAGUGGGGGACAACAUCUCGAAAGGGAUGCUAAUACCGCAUACGUCCUACGGGAGAAAGCAGGGGAUCACUUGUGACCUUGCGCUAAUAGAUGAGCCUAAGUCGGAUUAGCUAGUUGGUGGGGUAAAGGCCCACCAAGGCGACGAUCUGUAGCGGGUCUGAGAGGAUGAUCCGCCAAACUGGGACUGAGACACGGCCCAGAUUCCUACGGGAGGCAGCAGUGGGGAAUAUUGGACAAUGGGGGGAACCCUGAUCCAGCCAUGCCGCGUGUGUGAAGAAGGCCUUAUGGUUGUAAAGCACUUUAAGCGAGGAGGAGGCUCUUUUGGUUAAUACCCAAGAUGAGUGGACGUUACUCGCAGAAUAAGCACCGGCUAACUCUGUGCCAGCCGCCGCAGUAA
Molecule: ribosomal RNA, 503 nt
Filed under: uncultured bacterium
Lineage: Bacteria
Description: partial 16S ribosomal RNA
Rfam family: Bacterial small subunit ribosomal RNA
Source: RNAcentral